UUUUUCAUACUCCGACCUAUUUCUUCUUUUUCUUUGAAUUUUUUUUAUGGCUAUCUUUCUCUAUCUUUUAGCUUUAAUAAUAGUGGCCUUAAAUCAUUUCGAACCCCAUAUUCUUUGAUUUGGCUUUCUGGAUGUUGAAAUCUCUGUCCAAAAAUUAUGUUUUGUGCUUGAUUUGCAGAAGAGUUUGGAUUGAUAAGGCUUCUAGUGGGUGGAGUCUAAUUGGGUUGCUUUGAUUUUGUGCUAGGGUUGUGAUUGAGGAGGGAAAAUUGUCAUGGAGGAGAGUGCGGUUGAAAAGCAAAGGAAUUGGUCACAUUGUGCCUGAAAAUGAGACGUUUGACCAUUUGAUUGAAGAACAAGGACGCGAGAUUAGCUCAAGCUCUGAUUUUCUUACAUUGGAGACCAUAGGGCUUUAGGAGCACAGUCAUAGUGGCUCUGAGGACUAUCUUCCUUUCUUCAUUGAGUUGGUUCACUCGAAAGGCUAACGGACCCGAUUGUAUUAACCUAAUGUUGCUGAUAAAGAAGAAAAACACUAUGUUAAUAGGAAGUUGAAGAAGAAAGUAUCUUCAUCGUCAGAUUGAGAUGUUGAAGGAAAGAUUUUCUAAACUCUUGCUUGGAGAAGAUAUGCAGGCUGUGGAAAUGGGAUUUGUAUGGCAUUGGCUAUAUCUAAUGCCAAUAUGAUUGAGAAUGCAAUGAGAAUCCAUUCAUAUAUAAACAUUAAAAAUAUACAAUAUAUGCAUGUGUAAUUUGUUAAA
Molecule: long non-coding RNA, 752 nt
Organism: Cucurbita maxima (winter squash)
Lineage: Eukaryota; Viridiplantae; Streptophyta; Magnoliopsida; Cucurbitales; Cucurbitaceae
Exons: 2
Source: RefSeq, a predicted model, not a curated record